GUGCCAGCAGCCGCGGUAAUACGUAGGUGGCAAGCGUUAUCCGGAAUUACUGGGCGUAAAGCGCACGCAGGCGGUCUUUUAAGUUUGACGUGAAAGCUCCCGGCUUAACUGGGAGAGGUCGUUGAAUACUGGAAGACUUGAGGCAAUGAGAGGGGUGUAGAAUUCCCGGUGUAGUGGUGGAAUGCGUAGAUAUCGGGGGGAAUACCAGUGGCGAAAGCGGCACCCUAGCGUUAGCCUGACGCUCAUGUGCGAAAGCGUGGGGAGCGAACGGGAUUAGAUACCCCGGUAGUCC
Molecule: ribosomal RNA, 292 nt
Filed under: uncultured bacterium
Lineage: Bacteria
Description: partial 16S ribosomal RNA
Rfam family: Bacterial small subunit ribosomal RNA
Source: RNAcentral